AUGCAUCUAUUUGACAAACCUGAGCAGUUACUAUCUACUGCUAAAGUUUCCACUACAGAUGCUAGAAAAAAGUGUCCUCACAUUUUCUGUCUGUCUGAUUGUGGCAGCCAAGACUGAGUAGAGGAAAAGAAGA
Mesoplodon densirostris (Blainville's beaked whale) is the source of this 133-nucleotide small nucleolar RNA. RefSeq annotates it as small nucleolar RNA SNORA31. The transcript has a single exon. The record is from RefSeq and is a predicted model, not a curated record. Lineage: Eukaryota; Metazoa; Chordata; Mammalia; Artiodactyla; Ziphiidae.